This 400-nucleotide long non-coding RNA is filed under the name Callithrix jacchus (white-tufted-ear marmoset). RNAcentral's name for it is "lncRNA (ENSCJAG00000064153.2)". The record is from RNAcentral. Lineage: Eukaryota; Metazoa; Chordata; Mammalia; Primates; Cebidae.
AGCCGCUGUCUCGGCAGAGGGGCCCCUUCCCAUGGUCAAGUGCUCAUAGGUCUCUUUUUCACAUUCUCCCUCCUGCCUGGACUCUUCUGAGUUUUGAUUCAUGUACUCAGCUUUCUCUCUGAUGUGUCAUCUCCAUACAUGUAAGUAUUAAGUUGGUGUGAAAGUAACUACUUUUAAAGGCAUAAGUCACAAUUACUUUUGCAAAAACCUAAUAAUAGCAUGAUAACACAUAGAUUCACAAAACAGGGCAACUUUUAUUCACCACUGUAAGCUGUACAUUCCUGAAAGUCAGGGACACAGUUUAACUGAGCCAAACGCUUGAUCCAUAGUGGAUAUUCAGUAAAUACUGUUGAAUGAAUGCAGAACAGUCUCACAGUAGUUCUAAACUGCCUUUGAAUCA